GCUCCCUCCGCGCCAUCAGACUCCUACGGGAGGCAGCAUGGGGAAUAUUGCGCAAUGGGCGAAAGCCUGACGCAGCAACGCCGCGUGGAGGAUGAAGGUCUUCGGAUUGUAAACUUCUGUCUAGUGAGAAGAAAGACUUGCUAAUAAAACGGGCAAGGGAUGACGGUAUCACUAAAGAAAGCACUGGCUAAUCUCGUGCCAGCCGCCGCGGUAAUAC
Molecule: ribosomal RNA, 217 nt
Filed under: uncultured bacterium
Lineage: Bacteria
Description: partial 16S ribosomal RNA
Rfam family: Bacterial small subunit ribosomal RNA
Source: RNAcentral